This is a long non-coding RNA of Anguilla rostrata (American eel), 408 nucleotides long. RefSeq lists it as uncharacterized. Lineage: Eukaryota; Metazoa; Chordata; Actinopteri; Anguilliformes; Anguillidae. The transcript has 2 exons. The record is from RefSeq and is a predicted model, not a curated record.
GCGCCUGCAUGGCCUCCCAUUCCUGCGGUGACUGUAUCUUGUGGGCCAAAAGCCUGGUGGCCAGCUGGGGGCUUUAAACAAAAACAACACCCUGAAAAAUUAGAGAGGGACUGACCUUUGUCCAGCGUUCCAGCUGCUCAACAAGAAGAUGCCUUGGAUUGUGGCGCAAUAGACACCCCUACACCCCUGUUCAGUGACAUCACCAGGCCCACUCUUCAGCACAAGUGGCUCUUCACACUCAUUCAAAGCAAAUUCAAAAGGAAACCAUCGCCAUAGCUCUAUGUUUCAUGACAAGAAUACUUGUGCAAAGUGAAUUAUGAAUGAAUGUUUACUUAAAACUUGUACGGCAAUUAAUGGUAACAUGACCACUGAUGUAAAAUGAAAUUAAACUCCCAUUUUGAAAAACAA